RNAcentral lists this ribosomal RNA (472 nucleotides) under uncultured bacterium. Its description in RNAcentral is "partial 16S ribosomal RNA". It matches the Rfam family "Bacterial small subunit ribosomal RNA", at positions 28 to 507 of the family's 1533-position model. The record is from RNAcentral.
GACGAACGCUGGCGGCGUGCUUAACACAUGCAAGUCGAACGAUGAACCCGGAGCUUGCUCUGGGGGAUUAGUGGCGAACGGGUGAGUAACACGUGAGUAACCUGCCCUGGACUCUGGGAUAAGCGUUGGAAACGACGUCUAAUACCGGAUAGGACCUUGGAUCGCAUGAUCUGGGUUGGAAAGUUUUUUCGGUCUGGGGUGGACUCGCGGCCUGUCAGCUUGUUGGUGAGGUACUGGCUCACCAAGGCGUCGACGGGUAGCCGGCCUGAGAGGGUGACCGGCCACACUGGGACUGAGACACGGACCAGACUCCUACGGGAGGCAGCAGUGGGGAAUAUGGCACAAUGGGCGAAAGCAUGAUGCAGCAACGCCGCGUGCGGGAUGACGGCCUUCGGGUUGUAAACCGCUUUUAGUAGGGAAGAAGGGCUUCGGCUUGACGGUACCUGCAGAAAAAGGACCGGCUAACUACGUG